RNAcentral lists this long non-coding RNA (651 nucleotides) under Pan troglodytes (chimpanzee). RNAcentral's name for it is "long non-coding RNA NONPTRT008993". Lineage: Eukaryota; Metazoa; Chordata; Mammalia; Primates; Hominidae. The record is from RNAcentral.
GAAGAUUUUUUUUUAAAUGUCAGUGUAAGUAAAAUAAUUUACGUGGGAAUACCUAGCAUAUAGAAAAUCACAACACUUCUCCCUCACUUAGAUUAUACCCCCUCUCUUUCCACCUUCUGUCACCUUCAGUGAUACAACUAACAUGCUAAGGCACCAUUCAGUUGCAAAGUGGUUAUAUUUAUGCAAUAAAAAUAAAUGCAAGGCAGAGGAGAGCCACAUUACUCAAGAGUUUUUAGUCUGCUUUGUCCUGGCUUGAGCACGCUGAGAUGAGGUGAAUUCAGCACUCCAACCCUCCCAGGCAGUGGAAGCCUCGAGAGAAGGCAGCAGAGGAUCCAAGAGAGCAAGUCUUCAAGACUGACCACUGGGUUUUAAGCUUGCUCUUGACUUUCAGGAAAGGAGAGGUUUUGUGCCCUGGAUUAGGCUGCCUUUCUGCAAAGGUGGGCUCAAAAAUUCUGACCAGACUAUGAACCAUCCUUGAUUAAACUUGAUAAAUCAUUUGGCAACCUUGAAUUUCCAAGGACUGUUAAAGGGCACAAAGCAAAUUUAAUAAAAAUCUUAAGAAAUGGGGUGACCUUGGGUGAUCUAUUUAUAUAAGAUUAGGAAAUAUAAUGGCUUCAGGUACUAACGGUUUCACAGUAUUGACCUAUCCAU